Non-coding RNA from Pelobates cultripes (western spadefoot toad), 255 nucleotides. Lineage: Eukaryota; Metazoa; Chordata; Amphibia; Anura; Pelobatidae. The record is from the annotation of a GenBank genome assembly.
CUUAUGUGUAAAAGGUGCCUUUAUGUAUUUUAAAGUGUUUUGUGUCUUUUUGCAACCAUGUGCUUAAUGGAGUCUUGUGUCUGUCCUGGGAGAUAAUUGAAUUACUUCUCAAUUCAAUCUCCAGGAUAGAAGACUCUGAAACUGGUUUGGGCCGGAAAGCCAUGCUUCAUUUAGUCACAAAGGACUUUCCCUUAACUUUUGAACCCCUGGUCUGAUUCGUGCCAUUUUUUAAUAUGUUGUUCCCCUGAAUGGAUU